UUUGCUUUAAAUCACCCAGUGGCCAUCUCUAGACAGACGUGAAAGAGCCUUCACACCAAAAGGAUUUAAAGAAAAUGGAGUGACCAUUUACCAAUAGUCAUGAGAAAUCUUCACAGAGUUUGAAUAUGACAUCCAGAAACCCCCCAGCUCUGUCCUCCCGGAAGCUCUCUUUCUUGCUAUCUUCCUAAGGAUGCUUUCUUUCCGGGAGGAGGAGGGGCAUUGCCAUAGGGUGUGGCCGUGUAGCUCUGGCAGGCCUGGAAGAGGUGGUGAACAGGGCUAGUGUACUGAUCGUGAAUGUGAACAAGCUCCAGCCAAUCCUCCUGCCUCUGCUUCCUCAGCGCUAACAUCACAGGCCAGCCCCUAGCCAAGCACACUUCCUGUAAGACGUUAUUUCUACUUAGGAGUUCUCUGCCUAUUAUAUACGUGUGCGCUGAUGAAGUGAUAAAUGACUCUGAUUAUGUAAAACGUCUUUGUAACUCUUAUACAUCACCUAGCUUCCUCUCCCCAGAGUGCCUUAAACACACUGUAGGUCCUCCCUAUUGCCUAACUCAUCCAUCAUGGCCGACUGACAGUUGGAACAUGCUUCUCCAGUUUCAGAACUCAUUCUACUACCCGUUCUUGGGUCCCGCCCAGCUUUUAGGAGCUUCUAGGAUCCCAAGGAACUUUCUACCACUGAAGAUAAAAACGGCCACUCGGAGAUCUCUACUAAACAGCACUGACUGAGCACUUCUACUCGACUUUUGUGAAACAUAGGGCCUUGCUAUGCUGUUCAGACUUCUGGGUUUACACAAUCCUUCUGAUUCAGCCUCCUGUAGCUGCCACUCCUGGUUUGACCACCAGGCUCACAGCCAGAGGAAGUUACUGUAUAGAAACACUCACAAAAGGAUAAGUACGCCAAAGUUCCGGCAGCAUUCUUCCAUAAUAAAACAUGAGAGACGUAACAAUCAAUAAAGGAUUUGUUAACGCACAGCACCGUCACACAAUAUAACAUGGUGUAGCAGUUUAAACAGGACAAGCCAGGCAAGUUAGUGAAGACACUGACUAGGCUGGCCACAGAGUAAGCGCUCUCUACUGUGAACAGUUAUUAAAUGAUACCUGUUAUGCAUGCUGAUGAGAAAAGACACGUGAGAUAGAUUUAAGAAAGCAAGGCACACAACAGUAGGUCUGAUGUGGUCUCUUUUACAUGUACUGAUACACAAACAUGUGUACCCAUGUGCAUGUGUAAUAUAAUUUCUUAACUAUUGUCUGCCAAAACUCAAAGGCAGAACCAAAUGUAAAGAAGCCUCACUGCCAGGUGUGGUGGUACACACCCUUAGUCCCAGUACCUGGGAGGCAGAGGCAGGCAGAUCUCUGAAUUCUGAGACAGGUAGGACCGCACACAGAGACCCUGUCUCAAAACAAAAAAACAGAGGCUUACUCCUCAUUUUAUGCCUUUUGUUAUGUGUAACACUCUUCCUGUAGAUACUUAGUUCAAGAGCUGAAACAAUCUAAGAGCUGGGCACAGAACAGGAAAACCAGCUAGCUCCAGAGUCAUCUGAACGGAGUCAAAAGACCUUACAUAUUCACCAAGCCCAGAGGUCAUCACCAUAUUGUAGUGAUGAAAGCCACAGAGUGAGUCUUGGGAUAGAAGGUUAAAUGACUAUAAAUAGCAUAUUCUAAGAGGCAAAGAAGUGUCUCAAUAGUGUAACAUUUCAGAAAAAAUUUCUACCUGAAAUUAUGAAAUGCUUGAAAGGAAACAUUUCAUUUGUUCCAACAAUUAUCUCCUGCAGGAUAUUUAAUUCCUGGCUGAGUCUAAGCAGUCACACAGUGCAGACGCUGAAAGCAUAAGUCACCGUGGCAUCGGGAGGUAAGCCCGACCAAGUGCAUCUGAGAAAGGCUGUACUUGGGUGUGUAAGCGAUGCCGGAGAAGGAAGACGGAGAAGCUGUGAGAUAACAGCGCACCAAGCAAGGCUCUGUUUCUGCCAGAAAGAAGGCCAUUGUCACUCUUGGCAGCAAAGGAGAAAAUGAAACUUUAAAAGGUGAAAGACUAGGACAAGUAAGGAUGUGACGAGAAGCUCGAUUCCUGAGACAACAAGCAUUUUAAAGUAUCACCUUUACUCUGGCCACAUACAGCAACUCAAAGCCAUCUUUCAAAACAGCUUUCUUUUCUAAACAUAAAAACUACCAGAGGGCUCAGUGAAGGAAAUAAAAGAAAAAGAGGCAAAAAUCAA
Molecule: non-coding RNA, 2210 nt
Organism: Rattus norvegicus (Norway rat)
Lineage: Eukaryota; Metazoa; Chordata; Mammalia; Rodentia; Muridae
Source: RefSeq, a predicted model, not a curated record